GGACGAACGCUGGCGGCGUGCUUAACACAUGCAAGUCGAACGCUGAAGCUUGGUGCUUGCACUGGGUGGAUGAGUGGCGAACGGGUGAGUAAUACGUGAGUAACCUGCCCUUGACUCUGGGAUAAGCCUGGGAAACUGGGUCUAAUACUGGAUACGACAUGUCACCGCAUGGUGGUGUGUGGAAAGGGUUUUACUGGUUUUGGAUGGGCUCACGGCCUAUCAGCUUGUUGGUGGGGUAAUGGCUCACCAAGGCGACGACGGGUAGCCGGCCUGAGAGGGUGACCGGCCACACUGGGACUGAGACACGGCCCAGACUCCUACGGGAGGCAGCAGUGGGGAAUAUUGCACAAUGGGCGGAAGCCUGAUGCAGCGACGCCGCGUGAGGGAUGACGGCCUUCGGGUUGUAAACCUCUUUCAGCACGGAAGAAGCGAAAGUGACGGUACGUGCAGAAGAAGCGCCGGCUAACUACGUGCCAGCAGCCGCGGUAAUACGUAGGGCGCAAGCGUUGUCCGGAAUUAUUGGGCGUAAAGAGCUCGUAGGCGGUUUGUCGCGUCUGCUGUGAAAGCCCGGGGCUUAACCCCGGGUGUGCAGUGGGUACGGGCAGACUUGAGUGCAGUAGGGGAGACUGGAAUUCCUGGUGUAGCGGUGAAAUGCGCAGAUAUCAGGAGGAACACCGAUGGCGAAGGCAGGUCUCUGGGCUGUUACUGACGCUGAGGAGCGAAAGCAUGGGGAGCGAACAGGAUUAGAUACCCUGGUAGUCCAUGCCGUAAACGUUGGGCACUAGGUGUGGGGAACAUUCCACGUUUUCCGCGCCGUAGCUAACGCAUUAAGUGCCCCGC
This 840-nucleotide ribosomal RNA is filed under the name Kocuria rhizophila. RNAcentral describes it as "bacterial SSU rRNA". It matches the Rfam family "Bacterial small subunit ribosomal RNA", at positions 27 to 872 of the family's 1533-position model. The record is from RNAcentral. Lineage: Bacteria; Bacillati; Actinomycetota; Actinomycetes; Micrococcales; Micrococcaceae.